CCUACGGGAGGCAGCAGUAGGGAAUAUUGCACAAUGGGCGAAAGCCUGAUGCAGCAACGCCGCGUGCGCGAAGAAGGCCUUCGGGUUGUAAAGCGCUUUUCUGGAGGAAGAGAAAGGACGGUACUCCAGGAAUAAGGAUCGGCUAACUACGUGCCAGCAGCCGCGGUAAU
Molecule: ribosomal RNA, 170 nt
Filed under: uncultured bacterium
Lineage: Bacteria
Description: partial 16S rRNA
Rfam family: Bacterial small subunit ribosomal RNA
Source: RNAcentral